AUGAACGCUAGCGGGAGGCCUAACACAUGCAAGCCGAGCGGUAUUUGUUCUUCGGAACAGAGAGAGCGGCGCACGGGUGCGGAACACGUGUGCAACCUGCCUUUAUCUGGGGGAUAGCCUUUCGAAAGGAAGAUUAAUACCCCAUAAUAUAUUGAGUGGCAUCAUUUGAUAUUGAAAACUCCGGUGGAUAGAGAUGGGCACGCGCAAGAUUAGAUAGUUGGUGAGGUAACGGCUCACCAAGUCAAUGAUCUUUAGGGGGCCUGAGAGGGUGAUCCCCCACACUGGUACUGAGACACGGACCAGACUCCUACGGGAGGCAGCAGUGAGGAAUAUUGGACAAUGGGUUAGCGCCUGAUCCAGCCAUCCCGCGUGAAGGACGACGGCCCUAUGGGUUGUAAACUUCUUUUGUAUAGGGAUAAACCUACUCUCGUGAGAGUAGCUGAAGGUACUAUACGAAUAAGCACCGGCUAACUCCGUG
Molecule: ribosomal RNA, 478 nt
Filed under: uncultured bacterium
Lineage: Bacteria
Description: partial 16S ribosomal RNA
Rfam family: Bacterial small subunit ribosomal RNA
Source: RNAcentral